ACAUUUCCUAAUUGAAUUAGCCUCUGCCCUCGUUAACUCCGUUCCCGGUUCCCUGCGAGGAGCCACCGCCCGCAGGAGCCGUCCCGGGGCCGGGGGCUGCUGGCAGCGGGGGGGCUGCGCUUGGUUCCCCCGGCCCUGCCCGGCCCUGCCCGGGUACCGCUCCCCGCCUGCUCCCCGGCCCCUCGGGGCUCCCCGAACCCCCCCCCGUCCCCUGCCGGCUCCCACCUGGUUGUUCUUGCAGAGAUCUGCCCACAUGCUGGUGCCGUCGCCUCCCCGCAUGAGCACAUGUCAGUCCGAGUCAACUUUCCCUGGGACUUGCCUGCCGCGGUCGCCCCGCUCUCUGCUCUCUCCCUCCUCUCUCCCCGCAGAGGUGAUGGGGCUCAGCCCCGCUGCUGCUGCUGCUGCUGCCGAGAGCCCGCACCGCCGAGCGCUGCCGGAGCCGGAGCCGAGCGGGAUCCUGCCCGGGUGCCACCUGCCAGGAGAGGAGGAGGCUGACGAGCGCGCUGGAGCAAUUUAUAGGCACCCAAAAGCGCAGGGGAAAGGGGAGCUGCUUUGGCAUCUCAUUCCAGCAUCUGCUCUGCUCUUCCCACUCACAGAGAGUUUGGCAUUACUCUGGCAGUGUGGGAAAUAUAUAUUUUUUUUCCUCCCCCCCUCCCUUUUCUCUCCCCUCCCCGGUCCCCCCCCCCCCUCCUCCCUCCGUGAACGGAUGAGCAGUGAAAUCGUGAGGCUCACUCGCUAGCUGCAUCGCCUGAUGACAGCUCUUUCUGGAGCUAGACCGAAAGGAAGAGAUCUGCUUAGCAGCCUCUGGGCACCCUUCAGGUCACCGAUCGAGAAUUAAAAGGUCAAUCCACCUCCUGCUUAACGCAUCCCCGAGGCCACCCUGCCAUGUUAGCACUUGCUGGGAAAUAUCACUGCAAACGCGGGGAUGCUUUACAGUUACCGGGUGUCCAAGUGGAAGUUAUUUGACAAUAUGCCUCCCAGCACGCGCGGUAGCAGACAUCAGCAUCUCUCACAGUGUCGGGUCUCCCUUGUCCCCCCUCCCCAAUUGCAAUUAUCAAUGCGGAGAAGUUUCUGUUCAUAAAGUGAAGGUGACGUGCACAUAACCGGCUGCAGUGUUUCCCGGUGUCACAGCCAGCCACUGCUUUGCUAACAAAGUGACACAAGGCAAAGAGUUCCCUUUCGUUCAGAAGCCGAAGGAAAGCGUGGGGCAUCUGCAGAUCAACAGAUGCCUGGACCUGAGAGAAAGCAUCUCUCCGGCUUAACUUCACGGCAGCAAAGUGUUUUGUUGAGUCUUUUUUUUUUUUUUUUUCUUCCUUUGGUGAAAGGUUUCUCCUCCCCCAAGAGCUGGUGGGCACCUCUGUGACAGGGUAGGAAGGUGAAUGUGCAAUAUUAGUGGCAUUUCUCCGGAGAAAAUAUUAAGCAACUUGUCCUGCUCACAAAUACACAAGGUACACAAAGAGCUGUUUAAAUAAACAAACAGAAUUGAUUCCUAAAUCAUACUUCUGUAUUCAGGAGCAAUGGACGUCAAUCAAACGUGGGUGACAUUUGCCUGUCAAUACAGGGAUGAUGGCUGGAAAGAGUGUGACUUAUUACAGCAAGGCAGGAAUCCGAAAUGAGCAAUGGCAGCAAAUAGGACAGCAACCAAAUAAUAGCAUCUCCAGUGAUGAUCAGAGGGCUGUGAUCUUGUCUUGGAUUUUAUUAGCACGAAUCCCCUCUCCCCUUACCCGUUCUCUUUUCUUUCUUUUCUAUUCCACAACACAAUAAGGUCAAACAAGCAGGCAGUGGGAAACAAAGAUUCAUUGAUUCUUCCUUUUAAGCAGAAAUGUCAGCAGCUCCUUUUGCUCUUUCCUGAGAGACUCAAAGGCAGUGAGUGUGUCCGCACUGUGCAGAGAUGGGCCAGCCCAGCUCCUUAUCUCCCCACAAAACUCCUGAUAAAGCUCCCAUUUCACACAUUCGUAAAUAUCUCCCCCCACCCACCCUUUUCCUUUCUUUAUUAUUUUUUUUUCUUUAAUGUUCUGUCUUUAAAAAAUUCUUUAUCUGGUACUGACACAAGCUCGCCCGUUCCCUUAGCAAAGGGCUGCCGCUCAAGACCCAGGAAGGCAGCUGAGCACAUUUGGAGGAUUAUAUUUAUAUCUCAUCGCUCUCUUCACCCCACAGGAGAGGGCUUUCAACACCGCUCUUCUGUCCUUGCAGGAAGAAAAAAAGCUGUGCCAGGAGAGACAGGUCAGUCUCAGGCUGGAGCUGGGCCCUUGGGGUGCUGUGUUUAGUCAUCUCGAACCCGGGAGGUUUUCAUGACAUCAGGACGUGCGUAAACCUCCACUGCAACGGCUGUGUGACAUGCUGGGGAGGCAGCAAUUCUUCUCCUGUCCUCAAAGAGACACAAACCCAUCGCGCUCUGUCAAGCCAUGGUGACUCCGGGUGGCACCUGGGCACUGGCUUGCCGAGCAUACCCUUACUCCAGCUAGGAUAAGCCUGCUUCUUAAAGCAAGGUCCUGCUUACCUUCUUACUGCUUAGUUUUAUCCUCUUGCAGAUUGCCAGGAGUCUCUGUGCUCAUUCACUCGAGACUUGCAGACUUUCUCUCAGAGAAGGCCCAUGAGCCAGCCACAGAAAUCACGGUGUAAGCAAGCAGAACAGAGAGCACAGGGUGAGCCCCUGUGCAGAGCUGUCCACGAACACCGUGUGUUAGCCAGGAACACAGCCUGGGAUGGUGAGUGCUGGACCAGUGCUUUAGUUACCAGAGCAUCCUUACAUCUCAAGGAAAAAUAUUUUUUUCCAAGGAAACCAAGAACGGAAAACCAAUGGGCUGAAAAGUUGCGCACUGGAGGUCUCAGUACUUUAGAACAAAGUUAAGGAAAAUGUGGAAACGUCUUUUCACAAUGGGACUUUGGUUUUCCUGAAGUGGCUUGCCAUAGCAUCAAGUCACUGUAAUUAAGACCUGGGUACCAUUUAUGUUAUAAUGCAAUCUCCUCUCCAUGCUAAAAAUCAAGACUGCCAGCCCAUUCCCAACAAAGCCAUUACACCCAGGCUGGCUGCUGCGGUGAUCAGCGCUACAUUUCCUUGCACCUUGCCCUAGCCCUUCCACCUGUUUGCUUACCUCCCCGCUCUCUUGGGGCCUUUACACAUUCAGCCCCGCAGUCGGCAUGUAAGCUGCAUCCCCUGCAGCUUCUGCCAUCUGAAACAGCCUGCCCACAGCUCUUUCCCCUACUGACUAAUUAGUUGGUGUUCAUACGGAGCCUCGGAGAUGUGAGAGCGUAACAU
This is a non-coding RNA of Anas platyrhynchos (mallard), 3259 nucleotides long. NCBI's taxonomy places the organism in Eukaryota, Metazoa, Chordata, Aves, Anseriformes, Anatidae. The record is from RefSeq and is a predicted model, not a curated record.